RNAcentral lists this long non-coding RNA (844 nucleotides) under Mytilus galloprovincialis (Mediterranean mussel). Lineage: Eukaryota; Metazoa; Mollusca; Bivalvia; Mytilida; Mytilidae. The record is from RNAcentral.
AUUAUACAGAAACAUGUCAUUGACAUAUGAUGUGUAUCAUAACAUACAUUUAUACAAUUAUAUAUGAUAGCAAUUUCAUAUAAUUUACACUGACCCGGCCCAUUGGACCUAUAUGUCACUUCAGCAAUAUAUAUCAUAUUCGAAAACUGUAAAAGAUUACAAAAUAAAAAUACAGAAAUAGAAGUAAAGUUUUUUUGUGGAUGAAUGUUGAAUUUACAAAUUUUACCGGUUAGGUCUUAGAAGUUGAAUAUAGAACAAGUUUCUUUGAGAAAAGAAAAGAAAGCAACUUGUUUUACAUACAACUUAUAAGAUCUAGCCAACUGAUAAAUAGACAAGAAUUAAAACACAAAUUAAAAAUUAUAAAACAUUUAACCAAAAUAAUAUAUGAACCCUAGACAGCUGACUGAAUGGUCACCAAAUAAUUGAUGUUUGCUUUUGAUUUGAAAUAAGUGACUGUGAAUAAAAUAAGAUAUUGAUUUGAAAUAUGUAAAUGUCUGUAGAUUCUUGCAAAAGUCAGUUGAAAGCAAUGUUGGACAGUUGUAAAUAGAAAAGUGUAUAUAUACAGCUACUAUUUCAAUUUACAUUUUAAGGCUCGACUACUUUAUUUUAACUUUGGAGGGUGCAUAAUUUUUUCAUUCACCAACGACACUACUAACUACAGACUCCUGACUUGGGACAGGCACAUAUAAAAUGUGUAGUUUCUUGUGUAUAAUGCGGAGUUUGGUAUGACGUUCAUUGUCACUUAACCAGUGUACUUAUUUGUUUGGGGGCCAGCUGAAGGAUUCCUCGGGGUGCGAGAGUUUCUCACUGCAUUGCAGAUCCAUUAAUGGCCUUCGGCUGUUGU